UAAGGAAUAUUGGUCAAUGGACGGAAGUCUGAACCAGCCAUGCCGCGUGCAGGAAGACGGCCCUACGGGUUGUAAACUGCUUUUGUACCGGAAUAAACCUAUUUAUGUAUAAGUAGCUGAAUGUACGGUAAGAAUAAGGAUCGGCUAACUCCGUGCCAGCAGCCGCGGUAAUACGGAGGAUCCAAGCGUUAUCCGGAUUUAUUGGGUUUAAAGGGUGCGUAGGCGGCUUUUUAAGUCAGGGGUGAAAGACGGUAGCUCAACUAUCGCAGUGCCCUUGAUACUGAAGAGCUUGAAUGUACUUGAGGUAGGCGGAAUGUGACAAGUAGCGGUGAAAUGCAUAGAUAUGUCACAGAACACCAAUUGCGAAGGCAGCUUACUAAAGUAUGAUUGACGCUGAGGCACGAAAGCGUGGGGAUCAAACA
This 422-nucleotide ribosomal RNA is filed under the name uncultured Mucilaginibacter sp. Its description in RNAcentral is "bacterial SSU rRNA". It matches the Rfam family "Bacterial small subunit ribosomal RNA", at positions 355 to 774 of the family's 1533-position model. The record is from RNAcentral. Lineage: Bacteria; Pseudomonadati; Bacteroidota; Sphingobacteriia; Sphingobacteriales; Sphingobacteriaceae.